This 792-nucleotide long non-coding RNA is filed under the name Homo sapiens (human). RNAcentral's name for it is "HSALNT0301513". Lineage: Eukaryota; Metazoa; Chordata; Mammalia; Primates; Hominidae. The record is from RNAcentral.
CUUGUGCUAAUCACUGUUCAGAGCUUGGCUGCUGAGUGUUUUCUGGGAGCUGCAUUGUCAGUUGAGGGCUGCCCGCUGCGUGGGGUGGAUUCCCCAGCCCUCACAGGAUAAUUUUAUCACAGAGGACAACAUUUGUAGUUCUGCAUGAGUGGCUCUCCUGGCGAGAUAAAGAAGAGACAGUGAGCUGAGGCUGAGGCUGAGAAGGCUGGCAUAUGUGAUGUCUUCGGGGAUCGGAAGCUGUAAGUAGCACAGAGGGACACACAGAGGCCUGUGGUGGUGGAGGAGGGGCUUGACGGGUCCUGGUAAAGAAAGCUUUUAUGGUUCCCUGACUGAGGAUAAUCAACCCCUUCAUAAUUUAGAAUCCAAAGAUUGGAUCUUCUGAGAACAUCAGAGAAAGACUGCCCUUGCCAUCCACACUGCAACAAAACUUCAGAACCUUGAACCUUGGGUUCAUAAUCUCACAACAAAGAAGGGUCCCUCCAUGUUCUUGGAGCUGUACACCCAUUGGAACUCUUAAGACAUAUGGCCCUAAAGCACCUCAGAAGAAGCUGAAGGAAAUCAGCCUCCAUAGCUUUCAAGCCCCUGGACUCCUGGAGCCAGAAGUUAAUUCACACUCUGAUCUCAGAGAAGUUCAAGACCUUCAGCAGAACUUUUCCUGGCCAGGGCAUUUUUGCCCCUGAGAUAUGUCAUUAAACACUGUAACCAGGAACUUCUGUUCUUACCCCUGUCCUUCCCUUCACCUUUUAUAGUUACUAAAUGCAAUGUUUUAUUUUUCCAAGUACAAAACAAUAA